This 255-nucleotide ribosomal RNA is filed under the name uncultured bacterium. Its description in RNAcentral is "partial 16S ribosomal RNA". It matches the Rfam family "Bacterial small subunit ribosomal RNA", at positions 524 to 776 of the family's 1533-position model. The record is from RNAcentral.
UACGGAGGGGACUAGCGUUGUCCGGAAUUAUUGGGCGUAAAGGGCUCGUAGGCGGUUUGUCGCGUCGGGAGUGAAAACUCAGGGCUUAACCCUGAGCCUGCUUCCGAUACGGGCAGACUAGAGGUAUGCAGGGGGAGAACGGAAUUCCUGGUGUAGCGGUGAAAUGCGCAGAUAUCAGGAGGAACACCGGUGGCGAAGGCGGUUCUCUGGGCAUUACCUGACGCUGAGGAGCGAAAGUGUGGGGGAGCGAACAGG